RNAcentral lists this ribosomal RNA (421 nucleotides) under Fusobacteriota bacterium. RNAcentral describes it as "Fusobacteria bacterium partial 16S ribosomal RNA". It matches the Rfam family "Bacterial small subunit ribosomal RNA", at positions 355 to 776 of the family's 1533-position model. Lineage: Bacteria; Fusobacteriati; Fusobacteriota. The record is from RNAcentral.
UGGGGAAUAUUGCACAAUGGACGGAAGUUUGAUGCAGCGACGCCGCGUGGAGGGUGUAGGCCUUCGGGUUGUGAACUCCCUUUUCUCGCGAAAAAGGCACAGUUUUGGCUGUGUUGAUGGUAGUGGGGGAAGAAGCGCCGGCUAACUACGUGCCAGCAGCCGCGGUAAUACGUAGGGCGCGAGCGUUGUCCGGAUUUAUUGGGCGUAAAGAGCUCGUAGGUGGUUCGUCGCGUCUGUCGUGAAAGCCAGCAGCUUAACUGUUGGUCUGCGGUGGGUACGGGCGGGCUUGAGUGCGGUAGGGGUGACUGGAAUUCCGGGUGUAGCGGUGGAAUGCGCAGAUAUCAGGAGGAACACCGAUGGCGAAGGCAGGUCACUGGGCCGUUACUGACACUGAGGAGCGAAAGCGUGGGGAGCGAACAGG